AAUCUUGCGCACUGGGCGAAAGCCUGACGUAGCCAUGCCGCGUGAAUGAUAACGGUCUUACGAUUGUAAAACUCUCUCACCGGGGACGAUAAUGACGGUACCCCUAGAUGAAGCGCCGGCUCACUUCGCGCCAGCAACCGCGGUAAUACGAAGGGGGCUAGCGUUGCUCGGAAUUACUGGGCGUAAAGGGCGCGUAGGCGGACAUUUAAGUCAGGGGUGAAAUCCCAGAGCUCAACUCUGGAACUGCCUUUGAUACUGGGUGUCUUGAGUGUGAGAGAGGUAUGUGGAACUCCGAGUGUAGAGGUGAAAUUCGUAGAUAUUCGGAAGAACACCAGUGGCGAAGGCGACAUACUGGCUCAUUACUGACGCUGAGGCGCGAAAGCGUGGAGAGCAAACAG
Molecule: ribosomal RNA, 398 nt
Filed under: uncultured bacterium
Lineage: Bacteria
Description: partial 16S ribosomal RNA
Rfam family: Bacterial small subunit ribosomal RNA
Source: RNAcentral